This 916-nucleotide long non-coding RNA is filed under the name Carica papaya (papaya). RNAcentral describes it as "long non-coding RNA (CPAP_LNC004449)". The record is from RNAcentral. Lineage: Eukaryota; Viridiplantae; Streptophyta; Magnoliopsida; Brassicales; Caricaceae.
ACAUAUUUUUGAGUAAAAACUUGGAGCAACUCUUUAACCUUCUUUGCCUUUGAUCUUAUUACUGGUCCACUGAAACUUUCCAGGUUUGGAACUGUAUUUGUGUUUACAUCAUUUGAAUUUUUUUCUAAGUCACCUUCUGAUGCUUUUUGAGUAUCUUGAGUGUUUUUAGCCUCGUUUGCGUCACCAUUGAUCUUAGACUUGAUCAUCACUUGGCUAGCCAUCUUCACCACCAAAUUUGACAUAGACGACACUGACCUUCAUAUUGCCUGCCCGCAAGCCACCUUAGAUAUACGCACCUUAGACUACAUAGGCCUCCUAAAAAUGAAAGAUGGCAGUCCCUGCUUUAUAUACUUGGGCCAUUCAUACCAUGUCGCAAGCGAAUCUACAAGCUGCAUGACCAACAAGCACAAUAAGAACCAGGCCCACCUUCCCCCAACUUCCAAGAAUUCAUGGAUCGCACCAUGCUGCACAUUGGGAUAAUCGAGGCUAAAUUACACUCCAUGGACUUCGCCCUCCAUGAGUUGAAUGAGAAAAUAGAAGCCUUGUCGUAGCUACUAACUUAGAGUGUCCAAUCAUCCACCCCAAGCGCAACCAGUGACCACCAGAGGAGUUUCUUACCACUUUUCCUUUCACUUUACAUUCAUUUUCUGUAAUUUUAUUAAUAAUUUAUGAUUUAUUCACACUCGUUUAUUUUUUUUUUCAAAACUCUUUACUUUGACUUCAUUACCUUUUGCCUUGCAACUCACUCUGAAGUGUAUGCAUGGCCUUGCCCAAGGCUUCGGCCACAUGAAUCAUGACCAAACGUUGUUUCCCAAUGCACCCCACCUCCAAGUCACGAAACCAGGGGGGUAAUCUAUCCUUUCAUUUUACUUUUAAUUCUUUAUAUUACAUUGGGGACAAUGUGUAGUUUAAGUAU